This 2975-nucleotide long non-coding RNA is filed under the name Sus scrofa (pig). RNAcentral's name for it is "lncRNA (ENSSSCG00055016851.1)". The record is from RNAcentral. Lineage: Eukaryota; Metazoa; Chordata; Mammalia; Artiodactyla; Suidae.
GGAGUUGGGUGGUGAACUUGUGUAACCGAAGCAGCGGCUGGAUGUGAAGCCUUUUCCUUGUUCAUGGACCUGCCGGGAGGGUCAGUUCAAGGGCAUUUCCUCUGCAGUAAUUUUUAUACAGAAGUAAAGAGUUAAGUGAACAGAAACCCACAUAUACAACUUGUUCAGUGGUGGUGGGCAGAAUGAAAGUGGCUCAUUUCAUGGCCAGUACAGUAUGUAUCUCAAAUUAUAAAUGGAGCCUAACAGGUAUUUGGAGCAAGAAUUCUAUUUUCCGGAGGCUGUCAUCACCCCUGGAGCAGCGCGUCCCUGUUGCCCGCAUCCUCUCCAGCAUUUGGCGGCGUCUGUGCUCUGGACUGCAGCCCUUCUAGAAGAUCAUCAUCUGAGGAGAGUGAGCAGGAGAAAUUCAGGCUCAGUCAAGAAAUAAAUAAACAACACAAAGAAUGACAAGAGUAGACACAACUUUAACGAAGAGAAAUUUAAAGUAAAUACCACACACUGAUACUGAUUUACACGGUACCAAAAAUUGGAAAACAGAGACUAAACAGACUAUUAUCCAGAAAAACACCUUAACCAAAAUUGUCUCAGGAAAAUCUGUUUUAUGGAGCAAACCGUAAUUUGAAAAGAUACAUGUAUCCCAUUGUUCACUGCAGCACUAUUCCCAAAAGCCAAGACAUGGGAGGAACCUAAGUAUUCAUUAGCAAAGGACUGGAGAAGGAAGAUGUGGAGAAGAGGCCACCACUCAGCCACAGAAAAGCAUGAAGAAGUGCCACUGGCAGCAGCGUGGAUGGCUCUGGAGGUUAUCAUGCCAACCAAAGUAGUCAGAGAAAGACAAAUAUCAUAUAGUAUCACUUACACGUAGAAUCUAAAAAAAGAUACAAAUGAAAUUGUUUACAAAACAGAAGUGAACUCACAGACAUGGAGAGUAAACUUACGGUUACCAAUGGGAAAAGAGAGAGAAGGAAUAAAUUGAGAAUUUGGGAUUCACACACACACACACACACACUACUGUACAUAAAAUAGAUAAACACGGUCCUACUGUAUAGCCCAGGGAACUAUACUCAGUAUCGUGUAUGAACCUAUAAUAGAAAAGACCCUGAAUCUCUUUGCUGUGCUUCUGAAAGUAACACAACAUUGUAAAUCAACUACACUGCAAUUAAAAAAGAAAAUUUUUCUUUUAAAAAACUUAAACCAAUAACAUUUAAAGGAAACACGUUUAUUCUGUCCUUCAAAUGACAAGAGUUGACUUUUUUUUAACACACAACUUCUAACAAAUCAUCAUGACAAACUAUUCCAAGAACAUAGCAAAAUAAAAUUAUGCAACUUAUUUUAUGAGGCAAAUAUAGAUUUCCUCAUAAAACACUAAAUCUACACAAGGAAAAUAAAAAUCUAGAACAAUUUUACCCUUGAACAUAUUUUUUAAGAAAUCCCACCAAAAAAUAGUGACUACAGCAGUAUUUAAAGAAAAUAGAGCAUGAACAGGUGGGAUUUAUCACAGGAAUGCAAUAUUGUCUAUUACUGCAAUUGCUCAUAUUAAUAAGGUAAAUGAAAGAAACAGCAUUAUAUAUGGCACCACAAAUGCAGAAAAAGCAGUCAAAAUCCUUGUGGACACUGAUGACAAUAAUUUUUAUUAGCAAACUAGAUAGGAGGUUUUUUUUUUUUAACUGUAAAAAUAUCUGUUGAGAUGGGAUUAAGAUUGCAGAACAGAAGACUGGAGCUCAGCUUCUCUCAUAAAAACAACAAAAUUACAACCAAAUGCUGAACAACCUUCAACCAGAUACACUGGAGACUUUCAAAACAGAUAUCCUACUCUAGAAGACAAAGAGGAGGUCACGUCAAGGUGGCAGGAGGGGUGGUUACGUGAUAUAAGCAACCCCAUCCAUACACGCCGGGUGGGCAGCCCACAGACUGGAGAGUAACUAUGACAGAGACUCACCUACAGGAGUGAGAGUUCUGAGCCCCACAUCAGGCCCCAAUGCCUGGGGACCUGGCACUGGGAGAAAGAGCCCACCAGAGCUUCUGGCAUCGAUGGCCAGUGGGGCUUGUGCGCAGGAGAUCCAGGGGACUGAGGGAAACGGAGACCCCAUUUUUGAAAGGAGCACACAGACCUUCAUGUACACUGGGUCCCAGGGCAAAGCAGAGACUCCCUAGGAAUCUGGGUUGGACCUGACUGCAGUUCGUGGAGAAUCUCCUGGGAAAACAGGGGUGAAUGUGGCUCAUUGUGGGGGACGGACAUUGGAAGCAAAGCUCUUGGGAAUCUUUAGCAGCAUGCCUUUCUCUGGAGGUGGCCUGUUUUUUGGGAAAAUCUGGCCCCACCCAUUGGUGCUGAGAAGCCCCAGGCCAAACAACAAUCCAGGUGGGAUCACAGCCCUGCCCAUCAGUAAACAGGCUGCCUAAAGACCCCCCAGGCACACAGCCAACCUUUAUUCUCACCCAGAGACAAAGCCCCACCCACCAGAGGGAUAGGAAUCAGCCCCACCUACCAAUGGGUAGGCACCAGUCCCUCCCAUCUGGAAGCCUACAGCAAGCCCCCAUACCAACUUCAGCCACAAGGGGGGCAGACACCAGAAGAAAGAGAGAGUACAACUCUAUUGUCUGCAAAAAGGAGAACACACCAAAAACCUAUAAAAAUGAAAAGGCCAAGAGCUAUAACUCAGGUAAGGGAGAAAGAAAACCCAGAAAAACAGCUAGGUGAUCUGGAGAUUAUCAGCCUCAAGGAAAAAGACUUUAGACUGAUGAUGCUGAAGAUGAUGUAAGACACUGGAAAUAAACUGGAGGCAAAGAUGGGUAACUUACAGGAAACACUGAGCAAAGAGAUAGAAGAUACAAAACUUAAGUAAGGAGAGAUGCAAAAUACAGUAACUGAAAUAAAAAAUUCAUUAGAAGCAGCCAACAGCAGAAUAUAGGAGGCAGAAUGAAUAAGUGAGGUGGAGGACAGACUAGUGGAAAUCACGGAUGCAGAACAGAAAAGAAAAAAA